GGGGAAUAUUGCGCAAUGGAGGGAACUCUGACGCAGCAACGCCGCGUGAAGGAAGAAGGCUUUCGGGUUGUAAACUUCUUUGAUCGGGGACGAAGAUGACGGUACCCGAGGAACAAGCCACGGCUAACUACGUGCCAGCAGCCGCGGUAAUACGUAGGUGGCAAGCGUUGUCCGGAAUUACCGGGUGUAAAGGGCGUGUAGGCGGGAGGACAAGUCAGAUGUGAAAGCCCAUGGCUUAACUGUGGAAUUGCAUCUGAAACUGUUUUUCUUGAGUGCUGGAGAGGAAAGUGGAAUUCCUAGUGUAGCGGUGAAAUGCGUAGAGAUUAGGAGGAACACCAGUGGCGAAGGCGGCUUUCUGGACAGUAACUGACGCUGAGGCGCGAAAGCGUGGGGAGCAAAC
RNAcentral lists this ribosomal RNA (400 nucleotides) under uncultured bacterium. RNAcentral's name for it is "bacterial SSU rRNA". It matches the Rfam family "Bacterial small subunit ribosomal RNA", at positions 356 to 773 of the family's 1533-position model. The record is from RNAcentral.